Molecule: long non-coding RNA, 972 nt
Organism: Heterocephalus glaber (naked mole-rat)
Lineage: Eukaryota; Metazoa; Chordata; Mammalia; Rodentia; Bathyergidae
Source: Ensembl
CAAACAUUACCCAGAAGGGUUUCCAUGCCUAAAGUCUAAAGGGGAGACCUGUGGUAGAAGCUCUCUCAGUUGAGAAGCACAACCCUAAGUAUAUGGUUUCCUCCUUCCCUAGUAAGGCUCUUGAUGCUGUGUCCUUGAAGAGAACGUCCCUCCUGAGCAAAUCCAUGUCUGUCUUCCAGCUUGGAAAAUCAGACAGUGAUGAAAACCUCAUUGUUGACGGUCCAUUCUUAUGGCUAUUUUGGAGAGUUUGCCCUUGUCUUGAAACAUUUCUAAAGUUGUCUUUUGACAUUUUCCCUCUUAUCUCUUAUAAUAACUGUGGCCAUUGUCUCUCUUUGCUGAAAGAGCACUUUUCUCCAGAUAUAAAGUUCCCCCUGAACAUUAGAUUUCUCUUUCUGACUUCGGUUGUUAUUAGCCCUGCAACAGUAGCAAAAUUAGGCCCAGACAUGAACCAGGCCUGCAAUCUAACAAAAUGCUAAGUAGUCUCAUGUGCACAUUUAACUUUCCCACUAUGUGCUGGACCAAAGAUCUGUCUUUACAUGCAGUUCUCAUGUGCAGGCAGCUGGCAUUUUGGGAAUGAGUGUGAUACGUAUGAAAGACGGAGGUCCGCAGCAUGAGGAAGAAGAUCCGAAGGAUUCAGUCAAGGCUCGAAGCCCUGGAGCUCACUGUAGAGUCCCUCUCGAGUCUGCGUAAGGAGGCUGAAGGUUCUGCAAUGGAAGCUGAAGAAUCCUCACUGGAAGCCAGGAGAUGAUGUCCACAGCGAAGGUGAAGACUGGAGCUCCUCCAAAAAAAACAGAGCAGCUCAUCCUACUGACUUCUGCACUUGAUUGUAGCCAAGAGGCUGAGAAGCGGUCCUGCUGACUUCCAAAUGGGAAUAUUUGUGGUACAUUUCAGUUCCUUCCUCUCUCAUCUACCUCUUCCAGCUUCAGCAAAUGGUCAAUUAUGCUUCUAAAAUGUUCCUUUUGGAGCUUAUAC